Molecule: transfer RNA, 67 nt
Filed under: Marmota monax (woodchuck)
Lineage: Eukaryota; Metazoa; Chordata; Mammalia; Rodentia; Sciuridae
Description: tRNA.Ala
Source: RNAcentral
GGUUGUGGCUCAGUGGUACAGCACUCGCCUAGCAUGUGUGAGGCCCUGGGUUCGAUUCUAGGCGCCA